GGGCCCGUAGCUCAAUGGUUAGAGCUGGCGGCUCAUAACCGCUUGGUUCCAGGUUCGAGUCCUGGCGGGCCCACCA
Molecule: transfer RNA, 76 nt
Filed under: Hyphomicrobiales bacterium
Lineage: Bacteria; Pseudomonadati; Pseudomonadota; Alphaproteobacteria; Hyphomicrobiales
Description: tRNA-Ile
Rfam family: tRNA
About the family: Transfer RNA (tRNA) molecules are approximately 80 nucleotides in length.
Source: RNAcentral